UACGUAGGGAGCGAGCGUUGUCCGGAUUCAUUGGGCGUAAAGAGCUCGUAGGCGGCUUGGCAAGUCGGGUGUGAAAACUCCAGCUCAACCUGGAGACGCCACCCGAUACCUGCCAUGGCUAGAGUCCGGCAGGGGACCACGGAAUUCCUGGUGUAGCGGUGAAAUGCGCAGAUAUCAGGAGGAACACCGGUGGCGAAGGCGGUGGUCUGGGCCGGAACUGACGCUGAGGAGCGAAAGCGUGGGGAGCGAACAGG
Molecule: ribosomal RNA, 254 nt
Filed under: uncultured bacterium
Lineage: Bacteria
Description: partial 16S ribosomal RNA
Rfam family: Bacterial small subunit ribosomal RNA
Source: RNAcentral